AUACUGCAUACUGCUUUAAAGCGCCAAGAAGCGCUCCGGUUCUGGCUGGCAUAAAAACGAAGGCUUGAGCGAGCACGUGGUCAUUCUCAUUUCAAGAUUCGACAAUACUUGAAACAUUUUUCGGUUGGAGUUUGUUGGAGCAUGCCAAAAGUAAGGAUUCAAAAGACAGCAAUUGCAGGUCAAGAAAAUUGUUAAGUAUUAAAAAAUCAGUAGUAGAGCUGUUGCUUAGGAGUGUUACUAGAGGUGUUACUUAUUACUGAAAAGAAGAAACAGUAAUAUUACAAACCUCAGGUGUCCAAGUAUAAUUAAAUAAUGGAGAAGAAAAGGGAUCCACGAUGGAUUAUGAGGGAGCAUGAAUGUUUUGAAGAAUAUGCGUAUAACACAUCAGACAAGUCAACGGCACUUGAGAAAUUUAUAAAGAAGUUAAAGAUAAAUAUAGUACGCGAAGAGGACAAAGAAAUAGAAUUCGAUUUAAUUGGCUGCCAUACUUCGCUAGCUAAUGCAUUUCGUAGGAUACUUCUAAGUGAAGUGCCAAGUAUGGCUGUUGAGCAGGUGUACAUCAUAAAUAAUACUAGCUUGCUCCAAGACGAAGUACUUGCACAUAGAUUGGGCCUUAUACCUCUUCGUGCAGACCCUAGAUUAUUUGAGUAUCCUUCGAACAACGGGAGAGCGGAUGAUGAGGUUAGUGAUCAAGAUACUCUAAGAUAUGAGUUGAAGGUCACGUGUAGUGUGAAUCCACAAGCGCCAAAGAACUCUCGUCUUCCAGAGGAUAUGUACAGGAAUAGCAAAGUUUGCAGUAAGGAUAUUAAAUGGGUGCCGAUAGGUCGGCAAGCAGAUAUGUUUCCACGUGGAGCGGAACAAUUUGGUGUCCUAGAAAACGACAUAUUAAUAUGUAAAAUGCGUCCCGGUCAUGAAAUCCACGUGUUUAUGCACGCAGUCAAAGGCAUCGGCCAAGAUCACGCUAAAUUUUCUCCUGUGGCCACUGCAUCAUAUCGCCUUUUGCCGGCCAUUCAGCUGACCAGCCCUGUGAGAGAUAAGGACGCGGAUCUUCUGCAGAGCUGUUUCAGCCCCGGCGUAAUAGAAGUGGUAGAACAAGAGACGAACUCGGGUCAGAAAUACCGCGAGGCGCGUGUCAAAAACGCUCGCUACGACAGCUGUACCAGAAACGUCUAUCGUUAUGAUCAACUAAAAAAUUGCGUGGAACUGAGUCGGAUAAAGGAUCAUUUUAUCUUCACCAUAGAAUCUGUGGGAACAUUACCGCCGGCCGUGCUAUUCGCGGAAGCCGUUAAAGUACUCAAGAAUAAGUGCAGAACAUUUCUCGCAGAACUGGAAAACAUAGAAAACUAAAUUCAAGCAAAAUGAUCUUCUCGGUGAGGCAAAAAUCAUCAAAAGUGGCCAUCAAAAAUUUAUCGCCGGGCAAGUUUGGCCGUGCGUCUUGUGAAUAGUAACAACAAGAUUUUGCAAGUAUGAGACGCUGGCGACAGUUGUUGAUCGUCUCCGAAGCGAUAUGUUUACAUCCUGUGUUUUUGCCAGAUUCCUGUAAUAUCCGAAUAACAAUAGACAUUUUAAUUCAAUGAUCCCCUGGGGCGACGCGUGAUUCAUUGUGAAAGCGGCCGACUGGUAGUCGACAGGUCUCACGUUCGAGUCUUGACUGUCACCUCACAUAUGUCUUGCAAUUCUUGCAAAAGAUCAGAUCCUGGGGCUUUAUAUUUCUUGAGCCUAGGGAUCUAAAAGAAAGGAGAAUGAGUGGUCUCAUAAGGCCUGGUGCGGACCGGGUUGGAGUUGACAACUCAGCCUUAAAAAUCAGAGGGAGUCACAGAUAAAUUUCUUAGUUAGAUUUACGUGAAGUUAGGGAUUUGGUAGUCCUUUUUCUAUUUUUUGUGAUCCCCUACAUCAAUAUGUAAGAUCAGCGUGACAAGAAACGCAAAUACAUUCAAGAUUAUAAUAUUCGCAAGGAAACGUUAUAAGCUUUCAUAUUGUUUAUUUAUAAUCAUCAUGUUGAUCUCCUGAGGAAAACUUUAUUAAUAUGUAAAUAUUUCAAGAGGAAAAGUAAUUUAAGGAAUCGCGCGUAAAUGUAAAAGUUAGUUUUUCGUUAGUUUAUCGUCCUUGGUAUCUGGUAGGUACUGAUGAUCAAAACGCGCCAAUAAAUUUCGCAAAUAUAAGAUAUUGAAAUAAUAAGAUAAAAGAAAUAAUAUCCUGAUUCUCACUUUAAUUGAUAUAUUUCCACUAUAUAGCGAUCAUAAAGAAACAAGUAAAUUUUAUAAUAAUCAGUAAAAUUCAAGUCUAUCACCAUUGUCGGUGUUAUUUAUAGCGCGCCGCUUUAUUUGCUUAGAAGUAUAUUUACAUGUAAUACAACAGUAACUUGACACUACUGAAUCUUUUCUACUUUGCUAUUUAUUUAAUACUAUGAAAUAUAAUAAAUAGUAAAGUGGAAUCUUAUCUAUACUUGUCAUUCCUCAUUACAAUUUGCACUUAAAAAUUGAGGAAAUUACAAAAUUGCCCAUAUAUUUUAUUAUUACUGCUAAAAUUGUUAUUAAGCACAGAAGCUCAAUGUAUAUCAAUUUUAUAUAUAUUAAUGACAUUAGCUAGAAUUAAUCAAACUCACGGGAUAUUCCGCGACCGUCAGAAUCGAUCAUUGCGCAGGUCCACAGGGGCUCGCGCUUUUACGCAUCGGUGCAUUUCAAAAUUUC
Molecule: RNA transcript, 2690 nt
Organism: Temnothorax curvispinosus
Lineage: Eukaryota; Metazoa; Arthropoda; Insecta; Hymenoptera; Formicidae
Gene: Polr1C
Gene name: DNA-directed RNA polymerases I and III subunit RPAC1
Exons: 9
Source: RefSeq, a predicted model, not a curated record